ACAAGUUAAAAUAUUUUAAUUCUCAAGCUGUAAAACAUAAAAUUUUAUCUCAAACAUUAAUCCAGACAGUAAAUUAACAAAAACACUUCAAUAAUAAACAAUACCUACAAAUAUGGAAUGCAGUCUAAAUAACAAACUGAAGCUCAUUCCAUGGUCACUACAAUGUAAAAUAUGAGAGAUCCUACAUUGAUUCCAUUCAAGAUAAUAA
Non-coding RNA from Biomphalaria pfeifferi, 208 nucleotides. Lineage: Eukaryota; Metazoa; Mollusca; Gastropoda; Planorbidae. The record is from the annotation of a GenBank genome assembly.